AUUCGAAGCAACGCGAAGAACCUUACCAGGUCUUGACAUCCUCUGACACUCCUAGAGAUAGGACAUUCCCCUUCGGGGGACAGAGUGACAGGUGGUGCAUGGUUGUCGUCAGCUCGUGUCGUGAGAUGUUGGGUUAAGUCCCGCAACGAGCGCAACCCUUGAUCUUAGUUGCCAGCAUUAAGUUGGGCACUCUAAGGUGACUGCCGGUGACAAACCGGAGGAAGGUGGGGAUGACGUCAAAUCAUCAUGCCCCUUAUGACCUGGGCUACACACGUGCUACAAUGGAUGGUACAAAGGGCAGCAAAACCGCGAGGUCGAGCAAAUCCCAUAAAGCCAUUCUCAGUUCGGAUUGCAGGCUGCAACUCGCCUGCAUGAAGCCGGAAUCGCUAGUAAUCGCGGAUCAGCAUGCCGCGGUGAAUACGUUCCCGGGCCUUGUACACACCGCCCGUCACACCACGAGAGUUUGUAACACCCGAAGUCGGUGAGGUAACCUUUUGGAGCCAGCCGCCGAAGGUGGGACAGAU
RNAcentral lists this ribosomal RNA (524 nucleotides) under uncultured bacterium. Its description in RNAcentral is "bacterial SSU rRNA". It matches the Rfam family "Bacterial small subunit ribosomal RNA", at positions 949 to 1472 of the family's 1533-position model. The record is from RNAcentral.